AAGGGAGACCUAAUUCCGGUAGGAGACGAAAAAAAAGUAGUCCCAACCAAGAAUCAAUCCCAAAAGGUCGGAACGAGGUAUGAGGCCUUCAAACUAGGUUCUGGGUUCAUAAAAGACCUGAAUCAGGAACAAGGGCUAUUAGCUCAGGUGGUUAGAGCGCACCCCUGAUAAGGGUGAGGUCCCUGGUUCGAGUCCAGGAUGGCCCACCUGCACAGGUGGCAAAAACAAGAGAAGCGAGGAAUCAGCACCUUAUCUUACUUAUAUAUAAGAGAGAAUGCUGGCUCUGAGUAAAGAGUCCAGAGGAACCUUGAAAACUGCAUAGAGCUAGGUGAAAAAGCCAAAAAAGAAGACCGCAA
RNAcentral lists this transfer RNA (356 nucleotides) under uncultured Microcystis sp. RNAcentral's name for it is "partial 16S-23S ribosomal RNA intergenic spacer". The stretch from base 133 to 206 matches the Rfam family "tRNA". Lineage: Bacteria; Bacillati; Cyanobacteriota; Cyanophyceae; Chroococcales; Microcystaceae. The record is from RNAcentral.